UGAUUGAUAACAUUUGAGUGAGUGGCGAACGGGUGAGUAACACGUGGACAACCUGCCUCAAGGCUGGGGAUAACAUUUGGAAACAGAUGCUAAUACCGCAUAAAACCUAACACCGCAUGGUGUAGGGUUGAAAGAUGGUUUCGGCUAUCACUUUAGGAUGGACCCGCGGUGCAUUAGUUAGUUGGUGAGGUAAAGGCUCACCAAGACCGUGAUGCAUAGCCGACCUGAGAGGGUAAUCGGCCACACUGGGACUGAGACACGGCCCAAACUCC
This 272-nucleotide ribosomal RNA is filed under the name uncultured Lactobacillus sp. RNAcentral describes it as "partial 16S ribosomal RNA". It matches the Rfam family "Bacterial small subunit ribosomal RNA", at positions 73 to 339 of the family's 1533-position model. The record is from RNAcentral. Lineage: Bacteria; Bacillati; Bacillota; Bacilli; Lactobacillales; Lactobacillaceae.